This 484-nucleotide ribosomal RNA is filed under the name uncultured bacterium. RNAcentral's name for it is "partial 16S ribosomal RNA". It matches the Rfam family "Bacterial small subunit ribosomal RNA", at positions 28 to 523 of the family's 1533-position model. The record is from RNAcentral.
GACGAACGCUGGCGGCGUGCUUAACACAUGCAAGUCGAACGAUGAAGCUGGAGCUUGCUCCGGUGGAUUAGUGGCGAACGGGUAAGUAACACGUGAGAAAUCUGCCCUUGACUCUGGGAUAACUGCGGGAAACUGUAGCUAAUACCGGAUACUUUCCUCGGUGGGCAUCCACUGGGGAAGAAAGAAUUUCGGUCAAGGAUGAUCUCGCGGCCUAUCAGCUAGUUGGUGAGGUAAUGGCUCACCAAGGCGACGACGGGUAGCCGGCCUGAGAGGGUGACCGGGCACACUAGGACUGAGACACGGCCCAGACUCCUACGGGAGGCAGCAGUGGGGAAUAUUGCACAAUGGGCGCAAGCCUGAUGCAGCAACGCCGCGUGAGGGAUGAAGGCCUUCGGGUUGUAAACCCCUUUUAGCAGGGAAGAAGCGAAAGUGACGGUACCUGCAGAAAAAGCACCGGCUAACUACGUGCCAGCCGCCGCAGUAA